RNAcentral lists this ribosomal RNA (496 nucleotides) under uncultured bacterium. RNAcentral describes it as "partial 16S ribosomal RNA". It matches the Rfam family "Bacterial small subunit ribosomal RNA", at positions 28 to 507 of the family's 1533-position model. The record is from RNAcentral.
GAUGAACGCUGGCGGCGUGCCUAAUACAUGCAAGUCGAGCGAACAGACGAGGAGCUUACUCCUCUGACGUUAGCGGCGGACGGGUGAGUACACGUGGAUAACCUACCUAUAAGACUGGGAUAACUUCGGGAAACCGGAGCUAAUACCGGAUAACAUGUUGAACCGCAUGGUUCAACAGUGAAAGACGGUCUUGCUGUCACUUAUAGAUGGAUCCGCGUCGCAUUAGCUAGUUGGUAAGGUAACGGCUUACCAAGGCAACGAUGCGUAGCCGACCUGAGAGGGUGAUCGGCCACACUGGAACUGAGACACGGUCCAGACUCCUACGGGAGGCAGCAGUAGGGAAUCUUCCGCAAUGGGCGAAAGCCUGACGGAGCAACGCCGCGUGAGUGAAGAAGGUCUUCGGAUCGUAAAACUCUGUUAUUAGGGAAGAACAAAUGUGUAAGUAACUAUGCACGUCUUGACGGUACCUAAUCAGAAAGCCACGGCUAACUACGUG